GUAGCCUCGAUCCCAGGCCGAGUUUUCGCUUUUAUAACGGUUAGGCGAACAACUGGGCCUGGUACUAGUUGUCUGCGCAUGCGUCAGUCGUUCGUCAGAUUCUGACGAAUGGAUAUUCUCGUUCACUUUCGUGACAUUUAUAUUCGUGUACUAUCGUGUACUAGAAGUCAGUUCCCGUUUUAUCAUUAUUGGAAUCGAUUGGAAUGGCUCUUAGCUGAAGCUUCUCUCUUCUCUGAAGCUUAUUCUGAAGACUGAACAACAAGGGAAGAGGUAUAAAGCUUUGUCAAGCUUGUUAAGGUCAGAUAUUUUUGUGUGGGCCCUAUGGCCGGCUAUGCUAUCAAGUCUUGUUCAUGUUUGGCAAGAAUGUAGGUAGACUAUAGUUUCAUCAUUAAUAUGGUGGAUCAAGUGAAGAGUGUGAGCUAGAGAACUUGGUGCUGCCAUCAUCAGCUCGUCGACAAUGACACUAUAACCGAGAAAUUUAAUAUGUAUAGAUCUACACGUAUUUAAAAUGUCUACUUCUCUGUACAGGAGCAAUGGCUAAUAUCCAACUAUCCCAACAGUGCUCCUCGUGGCUAUACUAACGGACGAGACUGGACAGUUUGAGACACAGGACUGGAGUAUGACCUGCUCAUUUGAGCGUUGCUGGGUAGCUCAGAGACAUCAAGAGAAUCUACGUUUUCUCAAGCAAUGAGUUACGAGUUGGGGCCUAGAAUCAGAGAAGUCCAGCAGCCUGCUAAAUCUUUUUGAAACGUAAUUUGAAGGCAUUCAAUCAUCCUGAAGUUGCCCUGGGUCACUGUAAUUGUGCUGCAGCACAACUGGCAACUCCCCAGGCCUUUGUGAAGCAGCUCCCUAUGUGCAUCUUUUGUGUACUCACUCUGUGCAUUUUCUGUGUACAAAUUUCUAUUAUUGAUUUAUUAAAUAUUUUUGCCGACCACAAA
Long non-coding RNA from Halichondria panicea, 938 nucleotides. RefSeq lists it as uncharacterized. The record is from RefSeq and is a predicted model, not a curated record. The transcript is spliced from 2 exons. NCBI's taxonomy places the organism in Eukaryota, Metazoa, Porifera, Demospongiae, Suberitida, Halichondriidae.